GACGAACGCUGGCGGCGUGCUUAACACAUGCAAGUCGAACGGAGAGGCCCUGCUUUUGUGGGGUGCUCGAGUGGCGAACGGGUGAGUAACACGUGAGUAACCUGCCCUUGACUUUGGGAUAACUUCAGGAAACUGGGGCUAAUACCGGAUAGGAGCUCCUGCUGCAUGGUGGGGGUUGGAAAGUUUCGGCGGUUGGGGAUGGACUCGCGGCUUAUCAGCUUGUUGGUGGGGUAGUGGCUUACCAAGGCUUUGACGGGUAGCCGGCCUGAGAGGGUGACCGGCCACAUUGGGACUGAGAUACGGCCCAGACUCGUACGGGAGGCAGCAGUGGGGAAUAUUGCACAAUGGGCGGAAGCCUGAUGCAGCAACGCCGCGUGCGGGAUGACGGCCUUCGGGUUGUAAACCGCUUUCGCCUGUGACGAAGCGUGAGUGACGGUAAUGGGUAAAGAAGCACCGGCUAACUACGUG
This 468-nucleotide ribosomal RNA is filed under the name uncultured bacterium. Its description in RNAcentral is "partial 16S ribosomal RNA". It matches the Rfam family "Bacterial small subunit ribosomal RNA", at positions 28 to 507 of the family's 1533-position model. The record is from RNAcentral.